This 301-nucleotide ribosomal RNA is filed under the name uncultured bacterium. RNAcentral describes it as "partial 16S ribosomal RNA". It matches the Rfam family "Bacterial small subunit ribosomal RNA", at positions 509 to 807 of the family's 1533-position model. The record is from RNAcentral.
CAGUAGCCGCGGUAAUACGUAGGUGGCAAGCGUUGUCCGGAAUUAUUGGGCGUAAAGGGCUCGCAGGCGGUUUCUUAAGUCUGAUGUGAAAGCCCCCGGCUCAACCGGGGAGGGUCAUUGGAAACUGGGAAACUUGAGUGCAGAAGAGGAGAGUGGAAUUCCACGUGUAGCGGUGAAAUGCGUAGAGAUGUGGAGGAACACCAGUGGCGAAGGCGACUCUCUGGUCUGUAACUGACGCUGAGGAGCGAAAGCGUGGGGGGCGAACAGGAUUAGAUACCCCGGUAGUCCCUGUCUCUUAUAC